Molecule: non-coding RNA, 65 nt
Organism: Echinops telfairi (small Madagascar hedgehog)
Lineage: Eukaryota; Metazoa; Chordata; Mammalia; Afrosoricida; Tenrecidae
Source: Ensembl
GUUAAUGUAGCUUAAUAAAAAGUGAGGCACUGAAAAUGCCUAGAUGAGUAUUAACUCCAUAAACA